Myotis myotis is the source of this 381-nucleotide long non-coding RNA. RefSeq lists it as uncharacterized. NCBI's taxonomy places the organism in Eukaryota, Metazoa, Chordata, Mammalia, Chiroptera, Vespertilionidae. The record is from RefSeq and is a predicted model, not a curated record. The transcript has 3 exons.
UCUUUCUGGACCGACCACUUAAUCUAGAUUAGACCUCCCCAACUGCAGUCCCGAGUGGUCUACUCAGCCGAAGGGGAUGGCUCCUGGAAACCUCACAGAUCUUCCAAAUAGGAAGGGGGAGGGGCUUGUCAUUCAUUAUCUGUAAUGUAAGAAGAACUUGAUAGCAUGGGUAAUCCGAAGCGUAAUAGCUUGAAAGCUCUGGAAUGGGGUUCAUCCAUGAAACACAUAUGCCUGGCCAUCCGGAGAACAGAGCGGCAGCUGUGAAGGUUGGCUUCUGAGUCACCAUCACUGAAGUGGAACUAUUUGUACAAGUUCAAAGGCACCAAAGACCUUGGCAAUCAUCUGCCCUAGUGAAUGUCAAGACAUAGAUGACAUCACUGU